CACGAGGAAUUCCGUCGGAAUCUGGGAGGACCAUCUCCCAAGGCUAAAUACUCCCUAGUGACCGAUAGUGAACCAGUACCGUGAGGGAAAGGUGAAAAGCACCCCGGAAGGGGAGUGAAAUAGAACCUGAAACCGUGUGCCUACAACAAGUCAAAGCCCGUUAAUGGGUGAUGGCGUGCCUUUUGUAGAAUGAACCGGCGAGUUACGAUUGCAUGCGAGGUUAAGUUGAAGAGACGGAGCCGCAGCGAAAGCGAGUCUGAAUAGGGCGUUUGAGUAUGUAGUCGUAGACCCGAAACCAUGUGAUCUACCCAUGUCCAGGUUGAAGGUGCGGUAAAACGCACUGGAGGACCGAACCCACGUACGUUGAAAAGUGCGGGGAUGAGGUGUGGGUAGCGGAGAAAUUCCAAACGAACUUGGAGAUAGCUGGUUCUCUCCGAAAUAGCUUUAGGGCUAGCCUCGGAAUUGAGAAUGAUGGAGGUAGAGCACUGUUUGGACUAGGGGCCCAUCUCGGGUUACCGAAUUCAGAUAAACUCCGAAUGCCAUUCAUUCAUAUCCGGGAGUCAGACUGUGAGUGAUAAGAUCCAUAGUCGAAAGGGAAACAGCCCAGACCACCAGCUAAGGUCCCAAAAUAUAUGUUAAGUGGAAAAGGAUGUGGGGUUGCACAGACAACUAGGAUGUUGGCUUAGAAGCAGCCACCAUUUAAAGAGUGCGUAAUAGCUCACUAGUCGAGUGACCCUGCGCCGAAAAUGUACCGGGGCUAAACAUAUUACCGAAGCUGUGGAGUACACCUUUAGGUGUAUUGGUAGGAGAGCGUUCUAAGGGCGUUGAAGGCAGAUCGUGAGGACUGCUGGAGCGCUUAGAAGUGAGAAUGCCGGUAUGAGUAGCGAAAGACAGGUGAGAAUCCUGUCCACCGAAUGACUAAGGUUUCCUGGGGAAGGCUCGUCCGCCCAGGGUUAGUCGGGACCUAAGCCGAGGCCGACAGGCGUAGGCGAUGGACAACAGGUUGAUAUUCCUGUACUCGUUGUUUUUGUUUGAGCAAUGGAGGGACGCAGGAGGCUAAGGAAUGCAGACGAUUGGAAAUGUCUGUCUAAGCAGUAAGUCU
This 1102-nucleotide ribosomal RNA is filed under the name Enterococcus hirae. RNAcentral's name for it is "partial 23S ribosomal RNA". It matches the Rfam family "Bacterial large subunit ribosomal RNA", at positions 423 to 1526 of the family's 2925-position model. Lineage: Bacteria; Bacillati; Bacillota; Bacilli; Lactobacillales; Enterococcaceae. The record is from RNAcentral.